Long non-coding RNA from Triticum dicoccoides, 2072 nucleotides. RefSeq lists it as uncharacterized. The record is from RefSeq and is a predicted model, not a curated record. The transcript has 6 exons. NCBI's taxonomy places the organism in Eukaryota, Viridiplantae, Streptophyta, Magnoliopsida, Poales, Poaceae.
CACACCGCACCCAAUCCCAUCCUCUACCCUGGUCGUCCCUAUCCACACCAGCCGCCACACAACCCUAGCCCCUUUCCCCUCGAUCCCCACAGCCCCUCCCUCCUCCUCGCUCUCCGCCAUGGCCUCUGCACCAGGAGCCUCUCCAUGGCCUCCUACCCAUCCCCCCCCACCACCAUAGGUGCACAUAGAUGAUGGAUCCGUUCCGGAGAAGAGCAGCUCCAGUGAUGGUGGGGUGCAUCUGUGCCGAAGAUGAAGGAGGUCCGCCGCCCGUCUUUGCCUCCUCUCUGCGUCCUUGUUGCUCCUCCUCCUCUCUCUCUCUCCGCACCUAGCAGUGCAGCAGCCGGGACAAGGGGAAGGAGCAGCCCGACCCAGCUCCAUCUCUCUCUGGAUGAGCAGGUGGCGAGGGAAGCCACCACGGCUAGUGGCGGUGCUGCACAGGAACGUACACUCCAGGUCUCCAUCCUGUCUCACGAUCCCUUUCCGUUUCAGUGUUGUUCUUUUUUCUCUUGGUGUGCACUCUCCUGCAUCUCGCGCGGGAGGGAGUGGUGGUGACUAUCAUAGAAGGUGGAGGAGGUCAUUGGAGUCGGCUUCCCUUCCGCUUUGGCUGCCAAGCUCCGCGCGUUGGUGAGUCCCUCUCUCUAUCCCUCUACAUCUCUCCCUCUCUCUGUCAGAGGGCAGCUACCGACCCCAAGGUGCAGGCAGCCAUGGAAAAGCAGAAGAUGCCACACCUAGCUUUCCCCCUUGCCUCCUGCCCUUUCUCUUCAGCUCAUUUAUUUACAUGUGCAAAUUCUUUUUUAUCUAUGCCUGCAAGGUGUUUGAUGAAAGUUCAGUAAGGCUGUGAGGGAAUACCAAACAAGAGAGGAUCCAGUAUCUAUAACAUGCAUCAGAUAUAGAUUGCCGGCGGGUGGAUAUAUUGCUCAAAAGAUGUCACUAGUGUUGUACUGCUGUAGAUGACAUUGAUUUCAUAUAUCAAAGCAUUACAGCUCUUUCAGAUCCUUUGUAUUUCCACUUAGUUAGCUUGAAAAUCUUGUAUACUACGGACACCUCUUGCAAAUUGCAAAGGAGUUCUAACUCCCAACAAGCUUAUUUCCUUAAAAAAUGUAACUGGUACAAUGUUCAGCUCUACAUACCUUAUGAGAGGUCAGCCCCGGCAUCAUAGUCCAUUCCUGAAGAAGUUCACAUGCAUGGUGUGGAUUGUUGAGUUUGCUUGGUUAACGGAAUGACAUGCCUAUGCAGAUCAGCAGCGGGAAGGUCCAGGGUGAAAUCUUCAGGAGGGAUUUGAUGUUGCUAUUGUUUCAGUUUGCAGAUAGAGGAUGCGAUUCCAGCAAGACAGAGACGAUGGUGAUGACAAGUGAGAUUUAUGUUAAGGAGUAUUAGCAUAUGCUCACAGGAUCACUGGAAGCUUAUAAAGGGGGUAAUCUUCUAUAUUUCAGGUCCAAAGCUUUCAAUGCAUUUUUAUCUGUUUUUCAUGUCCCAAUGAUCAUCUGCAAGUCCGAAUUAUGCCAUUGUUGAUGGUGCACAGUCUGAACAUGACAUUGCCUUAUUUGUGACACAGGUGGAAAUUAGCAAGCAAGAUACAGUCGGUGCAUGGAUGACCAAGAUUACUUAUUACUUUAUGAAGAUGAUGAUUCCUGCAUGUUGAUUGUGCUUCAAGGGUAGAAGAGGAUGGGAGGAGGGGACACGCGCUCUAUAUUUUGUUAUGCACACCUUUCUAAACUAUACUUGUCUUCUUAACACAUGUUCAUUGUCCAGUAGAAGCUGUAGAUUUCAGCGUACAAUAAUUUCCAAAACGGCAGAAGGUGUUACUAAUAUGGUGAGUGAUUGAAGGGGAGGCAUGGGGAGAAGAGCAGUCCAAAUGGCGGAUGGAGCAUGUGACCUGUUGAUGUUAGUUUCCAUUUUCGGAAAGAACAAAUUUUCUAUAAUUUGAGUGUACGCUGAUGUGUUAAAGUCAAUCAUUUGGAUUCCCAACUAGACCAUUGUGUUUGUUCUUUAUUUUAUUGUGCAUUGAUAAAAUGUUUCAGUGCCCGUGUGCACCAAGUUGAAUUUUGAAACAGAUGAGAGUUUGCCCUUUA